This is a long non-coding RNA of Gasterosteus aculeatus aculeatus (three-spined stickleback), 1260 nucleotides long. The record is from Ensembl. Lineage: Eukaryota; Metazoa; Chordata; Actinopteri; Perciformes; Gasterosteidae.
CUGCUGAAUUAAACGUGUUAGUAAGUUUAACUUAAUGAACCUACCAGUGACAUUGAGGUGACAUUCCUUAAAGUUCUUCCCAUAACUUGUGUCCACUUGACACCAGUACAGCCCCGAGUCAUUAGUCUGGAGUCUGGAGAUGUGAAGUCUGAGUCGUCCUUCUCUGAGGACGUCUUUGUCCCACUGGAGUCGUCCUGUAAAGCGUUCAUCCUGAAUCUGUGGGACCUCGACACCUUCAUACAGAUGAAACAUGAGUGAGGGUCUCUCAUCAGCUAACAUCUCACAGGAGACAUAAAGGGCGUUGGGGGAGGGGUCCGUGCUGGUGGGGAACAUCCAUUCCAGUGAGAUGUUGUGGUUCUCCUCUGCAUGAUACCAGCUCUGUGUCACAUUCACUACAAAUGACCCUGCUGAGGAGACAGAGAAGGAGAGGAGGAGGUGACAAAGUGACAGCUUUAACAUGGAGCCUUUAGACUCCAUCUCCAGAUGUUUCUGAGGAGUGUGUGCUGAUGCUUCACAGCUGCUUCACAAACACAAAAGUGAACUGACCACAGACACAGGAGGUCAGGAUGAAGAUCACCAGGAUGCUGCAGAUCAUCUCCUCCCUGUGAGAGGAGACAGAGGAGAAGAGGCUCAAACAUCAUCAUCACACCAACAAUCUACAGUGUGUCUUCACAUCCUGAUGCUCUUUGUGUUCUUCAUCAUGCUUGUUACAAACACACAAAGCUUUCAUGCUGAUGACAACCUCCAGGAGAACGACAACCACAAAGUGAAGCUGGUUUUCCUGGAGAUGUUUCACUCAAAUAAAAGAAAUACAAACUGCAAACAAAGUGUCCAGACUUCCAAACAAGAAAUCAAUGGACUUUGUGUCACAUUGUGGCUGUCGCACAUGCACAGAAUGGAAGCAUCGCUUCAGACAAAUUCCUCCUUUGGUCCAAGAUGUCGAUCAUUAAUUAACAACACUAACUUGUUUGUUCUCCUCGGACCGAGUUUCCAACUGAACCUUAAACUCUUCAAACAGACCUCAUGUUUCCUCCAACACAUCCGUUUCUUAUUGUCAUCAAUGAAGCACAGUGUGAACAUCUAUGUACAAAUAUAACAAAUACCACACAGGGAACUCACACAACCUCAUGAGGCGGUUCUUCUGGAAUUCUUCCAACUCGUAAAAAUCCACGAGACCUCAGAUAAUAAAUGUUAAAAUAAUCAUAACACCAACAUUAAGAGAUUCUCUCCUUACCCUGGAUGUCUUGAACUGAAGCUCUU